This 378-nucleotide long non-coding RNA is filed under the name Zonotrichia albicollis (white-throated sparrow). RNAcentral describes it as "lncRNA (ENSZALG00000005450.1)". The record is from RNAcentral. Lineage: Eukaryota; Metazoa; Chordata; Aves; Passeriformes; Passerellidae.
AUGUAAUAAAGUGACUGUUCACUCUUUUUUUCACCCCUUUCUCCAGGAAAACUAUUCAGCAUCAGGAUGAUAAAGAGGAUGUGGAAUAAACAGUAAAUCAGAUGACAAAAGGAAAGAACAAAUGUAAACAAGAAAAUACAAGUAGGAGAUGGACCACAAACCUUUCAUUUCAGACAAGGAAAAAACGCCAAUAAGAUGCAUAAGAGAGAAAAGCAUAUUCCACUUCCAAAAGGGAUGGGGAGAAAUAUUCUUUCUCCACCUAUUCCAAGCCUAAUAGUUCAAACGUUUUUCCUGCAGAAUUCAGGUUUUUCCUGUCACUAGGCAUGUGACAAGAAAAACAAUGAGUCUGUCUGCUUCAGUACGUGUGAAAUGUGUGAA